GGAGAAAAGCAGGGGAUCGCAAGACCUUGCGCUUUUAGAGCGGCCGAUGUCUGAUUAGCUAGUUGGUGAGGUAAAGGCUUACCAAGGCGUCGAUCAGUAGCUGGUCUGAGAGGACGACCAGCCACACUGGGACUGAGACACGGCCCAGACUCCUACGGGAGGCAGCAGUGGGGAAUUUUGGACAAUGGGGGAAACCCUGAUCCAGCCAUGCCGCGUGAGUGAAGAAGGCCUUCGGGUUGUAAAGCUCUUUCAGCCGGAACGAAACGGUCACGGCUAAUACCUGUGAUCACUGACGGUACCGGAAGAAGAAGCACCGGCUAACUACGUGCCAGCAGCCGCGGUAAUACGUAGGGUGCGAGCGUUAAUCGGAAUUACUGGGCGUAAAGCGUGCGCAGGCGGUUUUGUAAGUCAGAUGUGAAAUCCCCGGGCUUAACCUGGGAACUGCGUUUGAAACUACAAAGCUAG
RNAcentral lists this ribosomal RNA (465 nucleotides) under uncultured ammonia-oxidizing bacterium. RNAcentral's name for it is "bacterial SSU rRNA". It matches the Rfam family "Bacterial small subunit ribosomal RNA", at positions 198 to 644 of the family's 1533-position model. The record is from RNAcentral.